RNAcentral lists this transfer RNA (722 nucleotides) under Fukomys damarensis (Damara mole-rat). RNAcentral's name for it is "lncRNA (ENSFDAG00000032000.1)". The stretch from base 63 to 136 matches the Rfam family "tRNA". The record is from RNAcentral. Lineage: Eukaryota; Metazoa; Chordata; Mammalia; Rodentia; Bathyergidae.
AUGCGCAUGGCCCAAGAAGUAGAUCCUAAUAGGGAACAGUUUGGCAAGCUACUCCCGCGGGCGGCGCCGUGGCUUAGUUGGUUAAAGCGCCUGUCUAGUAAACAGGAGAUCCUGGGUUCGAAUCCCAGCGGUGCCUUCACCGAGUAUUUAGUGUAUCUCGUACGUUUUGCCUCACUUUCGUUUUGCUGUGUUCCUCGGUCAACUAACCGCCCUUCGCUUAAGCAUCCUCACUUCCCUAGGCAUCUGGACGGCGUCCUGCAGAGGGGCGGACUGGCAGAGAAGAGAUGCCAGCCUGGCGGACCGCUUUCCCUACCUCUCCAGAGAAGUCUGACCACUAUGCUUCUUCCUCACGCGCCGCCAACCAGCGUCCAGAAGAGGGCGCAGGCGAGUCCUGCACAGCAGUGUUGAGGCACUAGGUCCCGGGUGUGGGAGUCGCGGCCACAGCCAAGUGCCCAACCUAUUUUGUGAGCUCCCAUGCUCGGAAAGAGGAGCCCCAGUCCGCUUCGCUAGUCUUUUCAACCAGUAUGAAUCCAUUCAUGGCUUCCAUUUGAAGUCUUCUUCCUUUCAAUGAAUUUUCUUCUGAUGAAAAAUUUUCUAACAAGUCAUUUACACAUGAUGGAAAAUUUUCUGUGGAUUCCGUUGCUUACUUUUAAUGCUUUGGUUGCAGAUUUUAUUACACUUUAAAUCUGAAUUUUCUCACCAUUGUUUAGUAAAUAUUUAAG